This 253-nucleotide ribosomal RNA is filed under the name uncultured bacterium. RNAcentral's name for it is "partial 16S ribosomal RNA". It matches the Rfam family "Bacterial small subunit ribosomal RNA", at positions 524 to 776 of the family's 1533-position model. The record is from RNAcentral.
UACGUAGGGGGCAAGCGUUAUCCGGAUUUACUGGGUGUAAAGGGAGCGUAGACGGCGAUGCAAGUCUGAAGUGAAAGGCGGGGGCCCAACCCCCGGACUGCUUUGGAAACUGUAUGGCUGGAGUGCAGGAGAGGUAAGUGGAAUUCCUAGUGUAGCGGUGAAAUGCGUAGAUAUUAGGAGGAACACCAGUGGCGAAGGCGGCUUACUGGACCGUAACUGACGUUGAGGCUCGAAAGCGUGGGGAGCAAACAGG